This 254-nucleotide ribosomal RNA is filed under the name uncultured bacterium. RNAcentral's name for it is "partial 16S ribosomal RNA". It matches the Rfam family "Bacterial small subunit ribosomal RNA", at positions 524 to 776 of the family's 1533-position model. The record is from RNAcentral.
UACGUAGGGGGCUAGCGUUGUCCGGAUUUAUUGGGCGUAAAGAGCUCGUAGGCGGUUUGUCGCGUCUGCCGUGAAAGUCCGGGGCUCAACUCCGGAUCUGCGGUCGAUACGGGCAUCACUGGAGUUCGGCAGGGGAGACUGGAAUUCCUGGUGUAGCGGUGAAAUGCGCAGAUAUCAGGAGGAACACCGGUGGCGAAGGCGGGUCUCUGGGCCGAUACUGACGCUGAGGAGCGAAAGCGUGGGGAGCGAACAGG